This 15168-nucleotide long non-coding RNA is filed under the name Gossypium barbadense (sea-island cotton). RNAcentral's name for it is "long non-coding RNA (GBAR_LNC020314)". The record is from RNAcentral. Lineage: Eukaryota; Viridiplantae; Streptophyta; Magnoliopsida; Malvales; Malvaceae.
ACCAAUGACCAUAGAGAAGUGGAAUGGCCAAUACAAAUAACACAAGUUUUGUUGAAUUCCAAGGGCUAGUCAAAACCUUCACAGUAAUUACUGACUUGAGAAUUCAAUGAUCUUAUCCAUAUUUCCUUUUACCAACUCCAUUCUCCAAAUUACCACCAUUCUCCAAAUUACCACCAAGUCCGAUAAUCAGAUUAAUUCCAAUUGAUCCAAUAUUGUAUACUAAUCGGCAAACAGAUGCAACUAUAUAUAUUAAACAAUUUCUCACAAUCUUAAAAUGUUCCAUUUUUCAGGGUUGGAGGGGGGUCAAGCUUCAAAUUUAGGCAGCACAAGUUUUUUACAUGUAAAAAUGCCGCAAAAAGCUUCAAGCUAACAGUAUUGUUGGCCUGUUAAGCUCUGGUCUGCAUUGCAACAAAAGACCAGCAGCAAUUUCAGCUCAACUCCUGUAGCAAUACUGUUUUGAACUGAAGAAAUGAAGCUGGUCCGAAUGCAACAACAUAUUUUGAUUAUUUUGUUCCUAUGCAACAACAAAAAGGGCAUGGCAGACCCAACAAAUAAGUAGCCCAAUCGGCCCAAAAUAGUUCCUGGCCCGGAACACAAAAAAAAAAAAACAAAAGGAACCCUAGCCCUAAGCAAUAAGGAGCGCCGCAACAAGCCCUCAGCGCCGCAACAGCCCUCGCCUCUAGCGGCCUCUCCAAGCGCCGCACGACUCGGGGCCGACCCCUCUCCACGCGCGCCGGCCUCUCCACGAACGCCUGCAAAAACGGACUCAAGGAGGCCAAAGAAAAAAACAAGAUAAAUAUAUAUAUAUAUAUAUUUAUAUAUUUUAUUUUCUCUUUUCGGCCUAUAAAAGGCCAUUUAAUCUGCAAAAUAAGGACGGAGAAAUACGGAAAAUACAGAGAAAAAUCAAUUGAAGAGCGAGUUGCUUAUUUAUUUUUUUUAAGGUGAUUAUUGGAGUUAUUUUAGAUCUUUUUUUUUCUGAUUUGGGUUUUUAUAUUGCGAAAAAAAUAAAAAAGGAAGAGACCACUUACCUGCUUCACCGAGUCUCCCUCCGUCACGGCUGGAGGCUGAGACGACGAUCGGGUUGCGGCACGCUGCGAAGGAUGGUGCGAGGACGCUAGGGAUUAAACCCUAGCAGAGCACCUAAGAGAUUUUUUUUAUUUUUUUCUUUCACUCGGUUUCAAAUGAUUUUGGAAGGGGAAAAUUUUUUUUAAAUAACGUUCAAAACGGCGUCGUUUCGCCCUGGUGUAACCCGCGCGGUGACUCGACCCGGAGGGGAGGAUCCGCGCGCUCUGACGUCAUAUGGGCUAUUUGCGCAAUUGGCCCCUCCUGUUUGCAGCGCAUUUCAAUUAAACUUGUUUUGUUUUCUUAAAAAUUGGGCCGCACAUUUAAUUUUUGUUUCAAUUUGGCCCCUUUGCUGCGCAGCGUUUUGGAAGGACGGGAUAAUUUCCCUUUUGGUCCUCCUCUGUUACGCGCGUGUUCAAGUGGGCCAUUUCUUUUAAAAUUUUAUUCAAAAUUUGCCCCAUUUGUUGUUUUUAAGCUCAAUUUAGCCCAUUUUAGCUAUUUUUCUCAUUUUUUACUUUAUUUUAUUUAUUUAUUAUUAUGAUUAUUAUCAUUAUUUCUAUAUUCUUACACGCAUAGUUUUUUUACAUAAUAUAUAUGUUUUCAUGUAGUACAUACGCAUAUUCUUGUAUAAAAUAUAUACGUUUUUUAUAUAUGUAUUUUUUUUAAAUUUUUUGAAUACUUGCAUUUUUUUAUACAUAUGUUUUAUAAAUAUAUGUUUAUAUUUUUUUUAAAAAAAAACUUUUAUAUACUUUAUAUUUUAUAUAUACUUAUACAUUCUUAUUUUGUAAAUAUCUAUACAUAUACAUAUAUUUAUUUUUACGAAUCUUAUCUUCGUAAUUUUCAUGUACAUAAAUACAUUUUUUUAUAAUUUAUUACAAGGUUUUUGUUUAUACAUUUCAUUCCUUUUCUCUUACAUGUAUACUUUUUUAAAAAAAAUAUAUUCACACUCGUAUCUUUAAUUGACUUGUAAAUUGUGCUUGCAUAUAUAUUUGUAAAUACUUAUUCAUUUAUAUUUGAAAUUAGAGUAACUGUUUCAUGUUAUACCUUAACCUUUUCAGCAUCUCUUUCCAAAAAUUUAUAUUUUGAUUUUCUCAAAGUUUUGAAAUCCUCCUGUUUUACAAAUUCCAAAAUAUUUGGCAUUCAUGAUUCUCGGGAAAGAUUGUGUCAUAACUUACUGGAUUGCGAUUAUUUUUUGAUGAAUCUAGAAUACCAAUUAUUUGUUUUGCAAUAAACUCAAAUUUUAAAUAAAAACUUAUUCUCGGGAAUUUAGAAUGUUGGGUCCUAACUUACUGGUCAUGACAUUUUUUUUCUCGGAAUAAGAGUUUUCAAAAAUAAAAGGCAAUAUUCGGGUAUUUUGAAGAUUUAAAAACAUUGUGCCCUAAUUUACUGGGUGUGGUGUUUUAUUUCUUUGAAGUAAGAAUUGUCUUAAUCCAUUCAUGAAAUAAAAAGUUUCCUUUUAAAAUCUUUUCAAAUUUUCGACACCAAGGCAUUUAAAAAAAUCAAUUUGGUACCAAUUUUGGGCGUUACGAGGGUGCUAAUCCUUCCUCGUGCGUAACUGACUCCCGAACCUGUUUUCUCAAACUUCGCAGACCAAAAUUAUUUUUUAAGGUGGGCCGGUCACACCUUAGUAAAGAAUCAGUGGCGAAUCCAGUUUUUGUUUUUAAGUCGACAACUAAAUUUUUUGUUUUCAAAAAACCGGUUUCGACAGCUUGGCGACUCCAGUUUUUGUUUUUAAGUCGACAACUAAAUUUUUUGUUUUCAAAAAACCGGUUUCGGCAGCUUGGCGACUCUGCUGGGGACGUUAGAGAGUCAAGCCAGAAAUUGAUUCAUUUUUGUCUUUGUGUCGAACAUCAAAAGUUUUUUAAAAAAAAAUUCAUGAUUUCCCUUCAUACUCAUUUUUUUUACCAUGGAAUGUUGGCUACUUUGCAUUUGCAUUUGCAUUUGCAUUUUUGCAUUACAUGGUCAGUUUUAUCCUUUAAGUGGGAGCGAGAAACUAGUCCUUCGUGAGGUUUUCACCUCCGUGCAGGGUAGUGGACCGCUUCCGGGAUACAUCUGUACCUAUGUCUUCGUGAGAUUUUCAUCUCCGUGCAGCCAUAGGGAAAUGUAUCCCCCUGAACUGAACUCGAUCCACAUGAGCCUAUAAUGGGUGAGGAUCGAGGAAUCUGCUGGUUCGGGUACCCCUACUCUAGAAACUAAACCUCAUAUAGUGAGCUUUAGGGACUUGCCCUAGGUAGAACUAUACUGAACCCUAGUAGAUUCCUAAUAAGUGUUCUUGCCAUGUUAUUAUAUCUUUAUAUGUGAUACUGACUUGUUUUAUUUUGAUUGCAUGGCAUCAUGAUUGCAUGACAUUUCAUUAUAAAGGCGUUGGUUCAUAUUCGGUUGCCAUACAGAAAGUUUAUCAUGGGAAAUGGGUUUCUUGAUAGAGUGGAAGACAAUGCGGCCGUCCAGACUUGGUCUGAGAAGAUACAGCACGAAAAAGGUGAUAGUUUGGCCGUGGGAUACGUAUCAGAGUUAUGGGACUUCACUCGUGUUAGCGUAGCUCAGAACAACUUGCAGGAAUUGAAGGAGAUUUGGGAUCAAUGGGAUAAUGAGGUUAGGCAGCUAUUCUAUUCAAAUUAUGGGAAUUUACCUUAUUUACUUGACAUGAAGGUAGACAAACGUCUGUUUCGAGCUCUUGUCCAGUUUUGGAAUCCGGCCUACAGUUGCUUCACAUUCGGAAAGGUUGACCUGGUGCCUACAAUAGAGGAGUACACGGCUUUACUUCGGUGUUCGAAGGUACAGGUGGAUAGAAUUUAUUCAAAAGCGGUGAAUGUACCAACCUUCUUGAGGAAGUUGAUGAGUAUAACAGGGAUGAGUGAACAGUGGGUUAUAGCUCGGAUUAAGCAAAAAGGGGAUAGUAGGUGUAUUCAUUGGAAAAGCUUGAAGGACCUCAUUUUAGCACACCCAGAUGCGAGGAAGAAAGUGGACGUCUUUGCUCUAAGUAUAUAUGGUCUAAUCUUGUUUCCUAAGAUUUUGGGACAAAUUGAUGAGGUGGUCACUAAUUUAUUCGACCGGCUUGACAAGGGAGUUAUGCCAGUUCCGGUGAUUUUGGCAGAAACCUUUAGGUCAUUAAAUGCAUGCCGAAGAACGGGAGAGGGCAGAUUUAUUGGAUGUGCGCAGUUAUUACUUGGGUGGUUCCAUAGCCACUUUUGGAAGGUUGAUAAGGUUUCAUAUCAGGUCUUCUCUGAAAGUUAUUCACCGUUGAAAGAGAUAGUGGCUACAUCAAGGAGAGAUGAUAUUACAGAGGAGAAAUGGAUGGCAAUCUUUCAGAAUCUGCAAGAAGAAGAUAUCGAGUGGAGAGCUCCGUGGUUGCUUCCAGAUGAGAUCCUAUAUAGGUGUGGUGAUUUCGACUGGGUUUCGUUGCUCGGGAUUUGGGGAGCUGUUGGUUAUGCCCCAUUGCUAGUGUUAAGACAGUACAGGUCAAGACAAUUUGUGCCUGCCAUUCAAGGACUAGCUGAGUGUGAAUUCUCAUAUAAGGAUGAUGGCUACAAAAGGAAGGCUCGUGAGAUGGCCAAUGCGUGGAAUCAGACUCGCUGAAUGAAGAGAUUAGCCGUCGGUCCAAUGACAACUUCUGAAUAUAACGAAUGGCGUGCUAGGAGGAUUAAUGACAACAUUCCCGGGCUAAGUUCAAAAAAUAGUCAGUCGAUAGAGGAGCAUUUGCGCGUCGUCCCUUCUGAGCUAGAAAUCAUAAAGCAAGACCUCGAAAGAAAGAAUGCAGAGUUAGAGAAAAAACUAGAACAAAUGGAGGAAGAAAAAGUGAAUUUAAAGUUGGACAUAGAUGUUCAAAAGCAGGAAACCGAGGGCCUGAGAAAAGGGAAGCGCAAAGUCGAGGAAGAUCUGAACAGCUUGAAGACGGAUUAUAAGAGACUACGUCUGUCCGUAAGAACUACUGGGUUGGGGAAAACCUCAGAGCAGUGGCGUCAAGAGGUUCAAGAAGAAAAAGCCAAGGCUGGCAGAUGGGAAGAAAGAUUCCAAGAAGCCCAGAUGCAAAAUAGAUCGCUUGAGAAGAGUUUGUUAGAAAAUCAAGAUGAAAGGGAUAAACUAAGGGCUAGAGUGGCCGAACUUGAGAAGAUUGUUCAUCAAUAUCCAAAUCGUAAUUCAGUGGUGGAACUGCAAGCAAGUUUAAGUAGAAUUGAGCAAAUGAAGAAAACUAUAGAAGAACUAGAGGUGGCAUUGCAGAACUGUGAAGCCAGGAUUGAGUAUUUGGAGGCAAACAAAAAUCAUCAAAGCAGAAUCAGGUCAGAAGCAGGGAUCGUGUUAUGGGACAAGCCUUGGUUCAGAUUCGAGAAAUAGCUGAUCACUUACAAACUCUGGCAGUACAAGCUGACACGUUGAGCGUAAAGUAUGAAUUAGAGUCAGACCGGGGACGGGAGUUAACCUCGUUGCUUCAAAAAAUUAAGGUCUUAAGUAUUAGGGCGAAGUCGUAUUUGUAGUCUAUUCUAUGUAAAGAGAUUUGUUUUCUAAUAAAGUUUUCCAAGUGGAAUUGAAUCAUAAUUAACGCCUUUCUUACAUUCAUCUCAUGCAUCGCAUCAUAUGCAUUCAAAACUUUGAAUUGAUCCUAAUUAAUUAAAAUUAUUGCUCAGUUAACCUGGAAACCAACCAACCAAUCCAACACCGAUACAGCACUCGAGCAAAGACAAGAGAUAUGAAUCAGAGAUUAGAAAAGCUCGAACAGUACCAGAAGGAGAUGCAAGACCGGCUUCAGCUACAAAUGAAGGAACGGUUAGACAAGAUGAAACAGGAGAUGUCUGAGAAGAUGCGAGAAUCUCAAGGGGACAUAGUGGCAAAGUUAACCAGGUUGAUAACUAAGGGAGGUGAUAAAGGAAAGGGCCCUAUGGCAGAUGUCGAUGAGGGAAAUGAUGAUGAACUUUUAUAUCCUCCAGGUUUCACCCCUCCACAUGAGCGAACUCAAGCUGAAUACCCGCGUAAAUCUACUGUCACCAUCAUGCCUCAGCAAUUUCGAGCUGGUAUUUCGGACCACCAAGCUGGGCCAGGCUUUAAUCCUGAAAAUAAUCCUAUUAACUCUGCCAUUCCUGACUUUGAUGAAGUGGUUGAGAAGGAAAGAGUGAAGGAAGAGUUACCAAAGCAGUUGGAAGAAAGAUGCAGGUGGCUCGAAGAGAAGUUCAAGGCAAUGGAGGUUGCUGAGAGUUAUCGAGGCAUUGACGCGAAAGAGCUGAGUUUAGUGCCAGAUUUAGUACUCCCUCAUAAAUUUAAGAUGCCUGAGUUUGAAAAGUACAAUGGGACAAGCUGCCCAGCAGCUCACAUCACUAUGUUCUGCAGGCGAAUGACGGGUUAUGUUAACAACGACCAACUCCUGAUACACUGUUUCCAAGACAGCCUUACUAGGACAGCAUCCAAGUGGUACAAUCAGUUGAGUCGUGCCACGAUUGGAUCAUGGAGGGACUUGGCACAAUCGUUCAUGAAACAAUAUAGUCAUGUGACUGACAUGGCUCCUGACAGAAUCACCCUUCAGAACAUAGAGAAAAAGUCAAGUGAAAGCUUCAAGCAGUACGCACAGAGAUGGAGGGAGGUCGCAGUCCAAGUUCAGCCACCGCUCCUGGAAAAGGAAAUGACCAUGUUGUUCAUUAACACCCUGAAGACACCGUUCAUUACACAUAUGUUAGGAAGUGCCACAAAAAGCUUUCCUGACAUAGUCAUGAACAGCGAGAUGAUUGAGAACGCCAUCAGGAGUGGGAAGAUCGAUGCUGGAGAGAGUAACAGAAGAUCAGCCUCGAGGAGGAAGGAGAGUGAGGUGAACAACACGAGCAUGUACAACAAGGGUUACUCGAAGUCAGUAACAGUGAGUCAGCCAGGAAAGGUGGCUGCCAAUCAACAAAACUCGUCGAGACAGGAGGUCAGUACAAGGCGAAAUGUUGAGAGGCCCCAAUUCACGCCAAUUCCUAUGUCAUACAGGGAACUAUACCGAAAUUUAUUUGACGCACACGUAGUUUCCCCUUUCUAUCUGAAGCCCUUACAGCCCCCGUACCCCAAAUGGUACGACGCAAAUGCAUUGUGCGACUAUCAUGCGGGAAUCACGGGGCAUUCUAUAGAAAACUGUACUGCCUUCAAGAAGGUGGUUGAACGGCUCAUUAGUAUGGGUGUCGUUAAAUUUGAUGAAGCCACCAAAGCAGAAAAUCCAUUACCAAACCAUACUGACAGCGGAAUAAAUAUGAUGGGCGAGGACAGAAAAAUCAGGGCAGACAUUGCGGACGUGAAGACUCCCUUGAGAUGGGUCUGGAAAGAGAUGGUGAAAAGGGGGCUAAUUGUUCCGAAAGAAAACUGUGAGAAGAGGAGGAAUUACUGUGAGUUCCAUUGUGAAAUGGGGCAUGAAAUCCAAGAGUGUACGGAGUUCAGAGCCUUGGUACAGGGUAUGAUGGAUAAUAAGGAGGUGGAAUUUUGUGAAGGAAUUCAGAGGGAGAGUCAUGUGUGCACGUCAGAGUUUGCGUUGGGAGUCCCGGAGGCUAACCGUCCUGUGUUCAUCAUUUUGCGACCUCAGAACAGUGAGGUUGGGGUGCGAGUAGCACCAAAGGUCAUCAUUCAAAAGCUGACCGUGUUUACUUACAAGGAUAACAGGAGGGUCCCUUGGAAUUACAAUUGUAAUGUGACAAUCCUAGAGAAGGAGGACCAUGACGAAGGAAGGUAUGACGAACAGGUGAAGGCUCGAGUAGAGCCAAUAAGAAAAGAAACUCCGGUUGGAAAGAAGAAGAAGGCUGUCGAACCUGAAUUGGUGGUCAAUGAACCAAUCAAAGAGGAGGAAGCUAGAGAGUUCUUGAAGUUCAUCAAGCAUAGCGAGUACAGCAUUGUGGAUCAGCUACACAAACAACCAGCUCGCAUAUCUGUGCUAGCUUUACUCCUGAACUCGGAGGGACAUCGAAAUGUAUUACUGAAGGUGCUAAAUGAAACUUACGUGGCCGACGAUAUCUCUGUUAACAAGUUAGAUCGACUAGUCGGCAAUAUAAGCGCUGAUAACUUCAUCUCUUUCAGUGAUGAUGAAAUACCACCUGGGGAUAUGGGAUCUACUAGAGCUUUACACAUCACUGCAAGGUGUAAAGGAUGCAUAUUACCGGGGGUUCUGGUAGACAAUGGAUCGGCAUUAAAUGUAUUGCCCCUAUCCACGCUCAACAGGCUACCUGUGGAUAGUUUGCAUAUGAAGUCGUGUCAGAACGUGGUUCGAGCAUUUGAUGGUACUGAGAGGGGGGUCAUGGGAAGAAUUGACAUUCCCCUGUUAAUUGACCCAACUAUUUAUGAGGUGGACUUCUUAGUUAUGGACAUCAAGCCUUCUUACAGUUUCCUAUUAGGAAGGCCAUGGAUUCAUUCAGUAGGUGCGGUACCGUCAUCGUUACAUCAAAAAUUGAAGCUGGUAUCAGAAGGCAGGGUUGUGACGAUAGACGCUGAAGAAGAUAUCAUUGCAUCUGUGGCCAACGAUGUGCCUUAUCUAGAAACGAGCGAUGAUGCAAUCGAGUGCUCUUUCCGUUCCUUGGAAUUUGUAAAUGCAACAUUCAUCCUUGAGGGGAGCAAGAUCCUGAUGCCGAGAAUAUCAAAGACCACAAGGAUGGGUCUGCAACUGACAGUAGGAAAGGGAGCUUUGCCGAGAAAAGGAUUGGGGAAGUAUCUUCAGGGCCGAGUUGAGGCUCCAGUAUUGAAAGACAAGCAUGACCGUUUUGGCUUAGGAUACAAGCCAGAUGCUAGGCAGAAGAGUAUAGAGCAGGAAAAGAAACAAAUGAGAAGAAGGGCUCGUUUGACUGGGGAUGAAGUUGAAUGGGAACCCAUGACCUUUCCUCACCUAUCCAAAACCUUUGUAUCGGGAGGAUUUAUCUAUCCAGAAAUGCUAGGGGUUAGAAGUAUUAACACGGAGCUAGGGAGUAUUCAUGCCGUGUAUGAAGGAGCGACACGAGGAAGAGCUUUGCCAGAUAUUCGUCCUUACGAGUCGGAAAGGGAGCUAAACAACUGGACUGCAGAAGAAAUACCUGUAGUUUUUAGGAUUUCCUCAGAGUAAUGUCCAAAACACCCUUAUUGCUUUUUAGCCUAGAAGUGAUAAGGAUUCUUUUGUGAAAUAGGCUCAUGUCCAGAAAAUCGUUAUUUUAAUAAAGUUCAUGUUUGCAAACAUUUUUGGAGCAAAUCUUUCUUUCAUAAGAGCAGUUAUUUUAAGUUUAUCUGAAACUACACUUGGAUUUCAUUCAUGACCAUAUUGCACCAAACAAAUUCCUGAAUCCAUAUUGUUUUUCAUACUUAUAACAGGUCCCAUGAUAUCAAUGAUGCGAAUGUCACUCUUACAAAUUUAGAGUCUCCUUUUGAACGAAAUAUGUGUUUAGAGGGAUCGCAUGAUUUUGAAGACAACGAAGACUGUGGUUUGUCUCCUGACUUGUCAAAGAUGGUAGAAAGGGCUGAGAAACAAAUCCUACCUCACAGGGAAUCAAUAGAAGUCGUGAGCUUAGAGGAGGGUAAAGAGGUGAAGAUCGGAUCAGAUAUCUCUGUAAAGACAAGACAGGACCUCGUUGAAUUACUCCGAGAGUUCAAGGACGUGUUUGCAUAGUCAUACCAGGAUAUGCCAGGGUUGAGUACCGACAUGGUAGUCCAUUGUCUCCCUAUAAGAGAAGAUUGCAAGCCAGUGCAGCAAAAACUCAGAAGGAUGAGGCCUGAUAUCGUGUUGAAGAUAAAGGAAGAGGUCCAAAAGCAGUUUGAUGCCGGAUUUCUGCAAGAAGUCAGGUAUUCUGAGUGGUUGGCCAACAUCGUACCAGUUCCAAAGAAAGAUGGAAAGGUACGAAUGUGUGUGGAUUAUCGGGAUUUGAAUAAGGCUAGCCCGAAAGACAACUUCCCAUUACCCCACAUCGACACAUUGGUAGACAAUACGACAGGCUAUUCAUUAUUUUCUUUCAUGAAUGGUUUUUCGGGGUACAAUCAGAUAAAGAUGCAUCCUGAGGACAUGAGAAAGACUACAUUCAUCACGUUAUGUGGGACGUUCUACUAUAAAGUGAUGUCGUUUGGAUUAAAGAAUGCAGGAGCGACAUACCAAAGAGUCAUGGUAGCCUCGUUCCAUGACAUGAUGCACAGGGAAAUCGAGGUUUACGUUGAUGAUAUGAUCGCGAAAUCUAGAACGGAGGGCGAACAUGUGCAGGUCUUGAGAAAAUUAUUCUUAAGAUUGAGAAAGUUCCAGCUCAAGCUUAAUCCAGCGAAGUGCACUUUUGGGGCCAGGUCAGGAAAGUUGCUAGGCUUCAUAGUCAGUGAAAAGGGAAUCGAGAUUGACCCAGACAAAGUCAAGGCAAUACGAGAUUUACCUCCACCUCGCACUCAGAAAGAAGUUCUAGGUUUCCUUGGAAGACUGAAUUACAUCGCUAGGUUCAUUUCACAACUGACUGAGAAAUGUGACCCUAUAUUUCGUCUUCUGAAGAAACAUAAUCCUGGUACUUGGGAUGAGGAAUGCGAAGAAGCUUUUAACAAGGUGAAGUAGUAUUUGUCUAAUACUCCAGUGUUGUCACCACCUAACCCGGAUAGGCCUCUGAUAUUGUAUCUAACGGUAUUCGAAAAUUCCAUGGGGUGUGUGUUAGGUCAACAUGAUGAAAUGGGGAGGAAAGAAAGGGCGAUAUAUUAUCUCAGCAAGAAAUUCACUGACUGUGAAAUGAGGUAUUCGCCUAUUGAGAAAUUAUGCUGUGCUUUGAUUUGGACAACCCGAAGAUUAAGGCAGUACAUGUUAUACCAUACGACUUGGCUGAUCUCAAAGUUAGACCCGUUAAAGUAUAUGAUGGAGUCAACUGCUUUGAAUGGGAGAAUGGCCAGAUGGCAGAUCUUACUGUCUGAAUUUGAUAUUGUCUAUGUGAGCCACAAGACUGUGAAAGGGAGUGCAAUUGCUGACUUCCUAGCUAGUACUACGAGCCGUUGAGUUUUGAUUUCCCAAAUGAGGACCUGAUGUGUGUAGCCGCUACUGAAGAAAGUCCCCAAGAAGGUCACAGUUGGAAGUUAAACUUUGAUGGAGCCUCGAACGCUGUAGGCAAUGGAAUUGGGGCAGUCCUGGUGUCCCCAAAUGGUGAUCAUUAUCCUUUCACUUGCAAAUUGGAUUUUGAUUGUACAAAUAACAUGGCAGAAUAUGAAGCAUGCGUCAUGGGUAUUCGUGCAGCUAUAGAGCGAGGAAUCAAAGUGCUAGAGGUCUAUGGAGAUUCAGCAUUGGUGAUAUAUCAGCUCAGGGGUGAAUGGGAAACGAGAGAUUCCAAAUUAAUCAGUUAUCGAAAGUUGGUCCUCGAAUUGAUUAAGGAGUUUGAGGACAUCACUUUUUGCUAUCUCCCACGAGAUGAGAACUAGAUGGCUGAUGCACUAGCUACCUUAGCUUCCAUGAUCAAACUGAACAGACAUGGGGAUAUGAAACCAAUCCAAAUGAGUAUCUAUGAAGACCCGGCUCAUUGUUACAAUAUUGAAGAAGGGGAAAUCGAUGAUAGUCCUUGGUAUUAAGAUAUAUUACGGUAUGUAAAAAAUCGUGAGUAUCCUGGCCAGGCAACAGAGAAUGAAAAGAGAACUCUGAGAAGACUAGCCAUUGAUUAUGUCUUAGAUGGGGAGAUCUUGUACAAGAGGAGAAAAGAUCAGGUACUACUAAGAUGUGUGGACGCCGUAGAAGCAAAGAAAAUUCUAGAAGAAGUCCAUGAGGGCAUCUGCGGAACGCAUGCCAGCGGGUUCACAAUGGCUAGGUAGGUUAUGAGAUUCGGGUACUACUGGUCUACCAUGGAAGGGGAUUGCAUCAAUUAUUUCAAGAAAUGCCAUAAAUGUCAAAUCUAUGAUGAUAAAAUGCAUGCACCUCAUUCAUCUCUUCAUGUCAUGGCUUCUCCAUGGCCUUUCUCCAUGUGGGGUAUGGAUGUUAUCGGGUCAAUAUCGUCGAAGGCUUCAAAUGGGCAUCGCUUCAUAUUCGUGGUUAUUGACUACUUCACCAAAUGGGUAGAAGCUGCUUAGUAUGCUAAUGUUACAAAGUCAUCAGUCAGUAAGUUCUUGAAGAGAGAGAUCAUAUGUCGGUAUGGAAUGUCUGAAAGAAUCAUAUCCGACAAUGCGUUGAAUUUGAACAACAACUCAAUAGCAGAGGUCUGCAGUCAAUUCAAGAUCAGACAUCACAAUUCGUCGCCGUAUCGUCCGAAAAUGAAUGGUGCAGUAGAAGCAGCCAAUAAAAAUAUAAAAAAGAUUAUAGGGAAGAUGACUGAGACUUACAGGGAUUGGCACGAGAAAUUUCCAUUUGCCCUCCUGGCCUAUCGAACGUCAACCAGGACCUCCACCGGGGCAACGCCUUUCUCCUUAGUUUAUGGCAUGGAGGCAAUCUUGCCCAUCGAAGUUGAAAUCCCUUCUCUUCGGGUUUUGUCUGAGCUACAAUUGGAUGAAGCGGAAUGGGUUCAAUCUCGAUACGAUCAGUUGAACUUGAUAGAGGGAAAGAGGCAAAAGGCUAUUCAGCACGGUCAGAUAUAUCAGAAAAGAAUGAUGCGAGCCUACAACAAGAAAGUUUGACCCAGAGAAUUUCACGAGGGGGACAUGGUAUUGAGAAAAAUUCUUCCUCUACAAAAGAAUUUAAGGGGGAAAUGGAUGCCGAAUUGGGAGGGUCCUUAUGUUGUAAAAAAGGCCUUUUCUGGAGGAGCCCUGAUCUUGGUGAAGAGGUACUUUACUUGAAGAAGGGAAGGAACCAAGGUGAAAACCCGCAAAGGGCGCUUUGAUUCCAAAAAAAAAAAAGGAGAGGCUAAGGUGAAAACCCGCAAAGGACACCUUAAGACCAAAGGGGAUUUGAGUUGAAAACCCGAAAAGGGCGGCUCAAAUUUUGAUUGUCACGUGGUAGUCUUGCUGUACCUAAAUCGGCAGAAAGGAAUAGAUGACAUCUUGGGGCAUCAACAAAAUACUGUGAAUUUCCUAAACAUGUGUUGAAUUCAAAAGGGUCUUCGAAAGCUGUAUAGAGAAAUUCAAGCAGAGAUAUCUGUGGCACAUGUUCAUAGCAUUUGUAUUGAAUUCGUUAUUAAAUUAUGUCAUUUUUUUUCAAUAUAAAUGUCCCCAGACAAUUCCACUAUCAUUGACAAUCCAUUGCGAGCUAUCCUCCUAGACUAAUUUUGUUUAUGUUAUCGUUAUGAUCCUUUCACAAGCAUGUUGCAUUAGAAUGACGAUUAAUGGACUAGUAAAACUUUCACAAGGGAAGUUUUUCAUAUUACUCUAGAAAUCUUUAAAUAACUCAGGAACCUAAAACAUGACUAUUGUUUAGACCUUCACCGGGUUAAAAGGUCGGAGAUAUCUAGGAGCCAAGAGCCGAGAUUUUAAAUUUUUUCAAGUUUUGACGAAGCGUUGUUGCCACGAAAGAAGCCUUAAUGAGCAAUAAUGGCUUUAAACAUUCAAUAUUCAUGACAUAACAUCCAAAUGUCAUUCAUACACGCCUAGUUAGGAGCAUUUGAUUCAUUCUGAUCAUAACAUCCUAGUCAUUAGGCAUAAUUAGGCUCAUAAAGUGAAUCAUACAGGUCAUGUUUCACAGAGAGCUGAUUGGUGAAAUCAUAAAGCCUUGUUUCCCUGAGCAACAGUGGAGCAGGUUGAAAAGCAGCAGAUCUUGCCUUCCCAUACUGGUGGCGAAGCAGAUCAAAGAAAGUAGAUCUUGUCUUCAUGUACUGGCAUGAAGUAGAUCAAAGGUAACAGAUCUUGCCUUCCCAUACUGGCGGCGAAGCAAAUCAAAGGAAAAAGCAGAUCUUGUCUUCAUGUAUUGGCGUGAAGUAGAUCAAAGACAUCAGGUUCUGUCUUCCUAUAUUGGUAGCGAAGUGGAUCGAAUAUACAGGUUUUAUCUUCCCAUACUGGUGGCGAAGUAGAUCGAGGAAAACAGAUCUUAUCUCCAUAAGCAGUAGCGGAGCAGAUCGAAGAUGGCGGAUUUUUACCUCCCUGAAGUUGUAGUGGAGUAUAUUGAAGCCGGUAAUUCUAUCGCCCCGGUCGGCAGUGGAAUCAAUCGAAGAAAGCAGAUCUUGUCUUCAUGUACUGGCGUGAAGUAGAUCAAAGAAAGCAGAUAUUGUCUUCCCAUACUGGUGGUGAAGUAGAUCGAAGAUACAAGUCUUAUCUCCCUAAAGUUACAGUGGAGCAGACAAAAGUAACCAGUCUUAUCUCCUUGAAGUUGCAGUGGAGCAGACAAAAGUAACCAAUCCUAUCUCCUUGAAGUUGUAAUGGAGUGGAUUAAAACCGCAGAUCUCAUCUCUCUGAAGUUUCAGUAGAGCAGAUCACAUCAGAUUUACCCUUAAGUCGUAACAGAACAAAUUGAAGCUAUAAGUCUUAUCUCCAUGAAGUUGUAGUGGAGCAGGUUAAAGAUAGCAAAUUUUGUUCUUUUGAGAAGCGUUGAAAAGUUGAGGCUCUGCUGGACCAGGCACAAUUGGGCCCUGUAGUCUUUGCUCUAUUCCCGUUACACGACAAUGAGCAAAGAGGGGCAGCUGUAAUAAGGCCCAAUCGGCCUGGGUCCAAAUUAAACAAAAAGGGCAUGGCAGACCCAACAAAUAAGUAGCCCAAUCGGCCCAAAAUAGUUCCUGGCCCGGAACACAAAAAAAACAAAAGGAACCCUAGCCCUAAGCAAUAAGGAGCGCCGCAACAAGCCCUCAGCGCCGCAACAGCCCUUGCCUCUAGCGGCCUCUCCAAGCGCCGCACGACUCGGAGCCGACCCCUCUCCACGCACGCCGGCCUCUCCACGAACGCCUGCAAAAACGGACUCAAGGAGUCCAAAGAAAAAAACAAGCAAAAAAAAUAUAUAUUUUUAUAUAUUUUAUUUUCUCUUUUCGGCCUAUAAAAGGCCAUUUAAUCUGCAAAAUAAGGACGGAGAAAUACGGAAAAUACAGAGAAAAAUCAAUUGAAGAGUGAGUUGCUUAUUUUUUUUAAGGUGAUUAUUGGAGUUAUUUUAGAUCUUUUUUUUUCUGAUUUGGGUUUUUAUAUUGCGAAAAAAAUAAAAAAGGAAGAGACCACUUACCUGCUUCACCGAGUCUCCCUCCGUCACGGCCGGAGGCUGAGACGACGAUCGGGUUACGGCGCGCGGCGAAGGAUGGUGCGAGGACGCUAGGGAUUAAACCCUAGCAGAGCACCUAAGAGAUUUUUUUAUUUUUUUUU